UGAGGAACAUGACUUUCGGUGGGGGAGUAGCCGGCCCAACGGCCGGGUAAUACCGCGUACGACCACAUGGGGACAUCCCUGAGUGGUGAAAGCAGCAAUGCGCCGAUGGAGUGCCUCGCGGCCUAUCAGCUAGUUGGUGAGGUAACGGCCUACCAAGGCGACGAUCCGUAGCUGGUCUGAGAGGACGAUCAGCCACACUGGGACUGAGACACGACCCAGACCUNUACCGGGGAGG
Molecule: ribosomal RNA, 235 nt
Filed under: uncultured bacterium
Lineage: Bacteria
Description: partial 16S ribosomal RNA
Rfam family: Bacterial small subunit ribosomal RNA
Source: RNAcentral